AUUGAACGCUGGCGGAAUGCUUUACACAUGCAAGUCGAACGGCAGCACGGACUUCGGUCUGGUGGCGAGUGGCGAACGGGUGAGUAAUGUAUCGGAACGUGCCCAGUCGUGGGGGAUAACGUAGUGAAAAUUACGCUAAUACCGCAUACGAUCUAUGGAUGAAAGCGGGGGAUCGCAAGACCUCGCGCGAUUGGAGCGGCCGAUAUAAGAGUAGGUAGUUGGUGGGGUAAAGGCCCACCAAGCCAACGAUCUGUAGCUGGUCUGAGAGGACGACCAGCCACACUGGAACUGAGACACGGUCCAGACUCCUACGGGAGGCAGCAGUGGGGAAUUUUGGACAAUGGGCGAAAGCCUGAUCCAGCCAUUCCGCGUGCAAGAUGAAGGCCCUCGGGUUGUAAACUGCUUUUGUACAGAACGAAAAGGUUUCUACUAAUACUAGGAGCUCAUGACGGUACUGUAAGAAUGAGCACCGGCUAACUACGUGCCAGCAGCCGCGGUAA
Molecule: ribosomal RNA, 500 nt
Filed under: uncultured bacterium
Lineage: Bacteria
Description: partial 16S ribosomal RNA
Rfam family: Bacterial small subunit ribosomal RNA
Source: RNAcentral